CCUACGGUGGGCAGCAGUGGGGAAUAUUGCACAAUGGGGGAAACCCUGAUGCAGCGACGCCUCGUGAAGGCAGAAGUAUUUCGGUAUGUAAACUUCUAUCAGCAGAGAAGAAAAUGACGGUACCUGACUAAGAAGCCCCGGCUACCUACGUGCCAGCAGCCGCGGUAAUACGUAGGGGGCAAGCGUUAUCCGGAUUUACUGGGUGUAACGGGAGCGUAGACUGCAUGGCAAGUCUGGUGUGAAAGGCAGGGGCGCAACCCCUGGACUGCAUUGGAAACUGUCAGGCUGGAGUGCAGGAGAGGUGAGUGGAAUUCCUAGUGUAGCGGUGAAAUGAGUAGAUAUUAGGAGGAACACCAGUGGCGAAGGCGACUUACUGGACUGUAACUGACGUUGAGGCUCGAAAGCGUGGGGAGCAAACAGGAUUAGAUACCCCUGUAGUC
RNAcentral lists this ribosomal RNA (440 nucleotides) under uncultured bacterium. Its description in RNAcentral is "partial 16S ribosomal RNA". It matches the Rfam family "Bacterial small subunit ribosomal RNA", at positions 338 to 795 of the family's 1533-position model. The record is from RNAcentral.